Molecule: unclassified non-coding RNA, 346 nt
Filed under: soil metagenome
Description: partial contains 5.8S ribosomal RNA, internal transcribed spacer 2, and large subunit ribosomal RNA
Rfam family: 5.8S ribosomal RNA (bases 1-120)
Source: RNAcentral
GAUGAAGAACGUAGCGAAAUGCGAUAAGUAAUGUGAAUUGCAGAAUUCAGUGAAUCAUCGAAUCUUUGAACGCACAUUGCGCCCCCUGGUAUUCCGGGGGGCAUGCCUGUCCGAGCGUCAUUGCUGCCCUCAAGCACGGCUUGUGUGUUGGGCCCCGUCCUCCGAUCCCGGGGGACGGGCCCGAAAGGCAACGGCGGCACCGCGUCCGGUCCUCGAGCGUAUGGGGCUUUGUCACCCGCUCUGUAGGCCCGGCCGGCGCUUGCCGAUCAACCCAAAUUUUUAUCCAGGUUGACCUCGGAUCAGGUAGGGAUACCCGCUGAACUUAAGCAUAUCAAUAAGCGGAGGA